Non-coding RNA from Methanosarcina barkeri str. Fusaro, 94 nucleotides. Lineage: Archaea; Methanobacteriati; Methanobacteriota; Methanomicrobia; Methanosarcinales; Methanosarcinaceae. The record is from Rfam.
GGGCUCGUAGGGUAGCCAGGAUAUCCUAAUGGGCUUCGAAGUAAGAUAAUUACGAAGAUACCCAUUGACUCGUGUUCGAAUCGCGGCGGGCCCG